Molecule: long non-coding RNA, 359 nt
Organism: Astatotilapia calliptera (eastern happy)
Lineage: Eukaryota; Metazoa; Chordata; Actinopteri; Cichliformes; Cichlidae
Source: Ensembl
GGCUGGAGCGGUCCCACUGACCCUCCAGCAGACGACGAAGGCUGGAGCGGUCCCUCGGACCCUCCAGCGAAGGCGGAUGAAGGCUGGAGCGGUCCCACGGACCCUCCAGCGACGACAAAGGCUGGGGCGGUCCCCGGACCCCCCAGCGAAGGCAAUCCCGGACGAGCCCCCAUAUGUUACACCCCGGCCUAGGCAACCGGAGUGCAACACGAAAAAAAGUAAAAAUAAAGAAAAAAAAACACACAAAAAACCCCCACUAAAGCUCACCACCAAAAUCCCAAAACGAAAGUAUCGACAAAUCUAUUUUACAGCUAUUUACAACAAACUAUUUAUUUACAACAAAACACCAAACUAUUUAC